Long non-coding RNA from Bubalus bubalis (water buffalo), 565 nucleotides. RefSeq lists it as uncharacterized. The transcript has 4 exons. The record is from RefSeq and is a predicted model, not a curated record. Lineage: Eukaryota; Metazoa; Chordata; Mammalia; Artiodactyla; Bovidae.
CUCUUGCUUCUACUCAUUUCUUGACCCUUGCUCUCUCACUCAUCCUCUCAUCCUCAGAUGCUGCUUGCUUCAACCAAAGCCUCUCCCAUCUGACUAAUGGUCCAGCUUCACCUAAGAGCUAUUACUACCUUCGGAGAUCCGAGGUCUCAGCCUACAGAAGAGACAUUCAGAGAGCUCCUGGGAAGUGCAGACUCGUGGAUCCCUCCCUCAAGGAUUCAGAAGCAGAUGAGCCCAGAGAUUGACUAUGGUACCCAGUGAUCACCUGGCAUGGGAAGGCGCAGCAGGAGGUUAACAAGAUGCCCUGAAAGAUGACCCACAGGAGGCCAGAGUGAGGAGUCAACAGAGAAAAUUUGAAGCUGAUAUAUCAAGAAGCAAGGCGUUGGUAUACUAUUUCAAGUUAUGGAGAAAUUUAAAUUUUAAAUGAUUGACUGUAAUUACAUCUUGAGAGAGGGACGAGGAUAUACCUCUCUUACUGCCAGUGUGAUAUUCCUUCCUAUUUUUGUACUUCUUUUUGUAAUCAUGAAAAGUGACAGUUGUGAAUAAAAAACUCAGUAUUAAAAAACUA